CGGCCUUUGUUGGAAAAUAUGCAGGUAAUCCCCCCCCCCCCCCCCCCCUCCCUUCCACAUGGUAACACCACACUUUUUCUUCAUUUUUUUUUAUCAUGUUACUUGUUGUUUCCCUAUUUGCCUAGAUUCCUGGAAAGGAGAAUAUUAAUUUGAUCAUUCAAAUUUCUUGUUUAUCUACCAUCAUUCCCUGUUUCUCACAUACCCAUUUGUUAAAGAUUGGAUUUUGUUUCCUUCUUUGUGUUGAUUUGGUUCUCUUCAUAACUCGAUUCCUUGAUGGGUUUUGUCUUCCUGAACAAAUACCCAUAUGGUAAUUGGCAGUAACUAAAUUUGAUCAUUUACUUUAUUUGUAAGAUGCUCUUGGAGACCCUUCUGUCAUUAGGGAAUUUUUUUUUCCUAUGCAUAUAGAGUGUUUUGGAAUUAAAUUCUUUUGAAAAUACAAUAUCAGAGUUGAUAUUAAAAUGGCGUUGGAGGAUGGCAAGGAGCCUGGUAUUACUAUUAGAUUGAUUCAGAAUAGGCCUCUGCCAUUGAGACUCCUUCAAUUUUUCUUGUUGUUUUUGGUUCUGGGUCUUGGGGUUUCCAUAAUUAGUAUGUAUACGUUUCGAUAUUUUGGAAUCCAAAAUGUAACUGGUGUAGGAAGGUCCAAUAUAUUUCUCCCUUGCUUUGAAGCACCAAAUGAUUUAGAGAACUGGAUUAGGCCUCCAUCAAACCUGUUGCAUAAGAUGAAUGAUACAGAGUUGUUUUGGCGUGCCUCAUUUGUUCCUCGAAUAAAGGAAUAUCCAUAUAGGAGAGUUCCGAAGAUUGCCUUCAUGUUCUUGACAAAGGGACCAUUGCCAUUGGCACCUCUCUGGGAGAGGUUUUUCAAGGGCCAUGAGGGGCUUUAUUCGAUCUAUGUUCAUUCAUUGCCUUCUUAUGCUGGAAACUAUACGCCAUCAUCAGUGUUCUACAAGAGACAAAUCCCAAGUCAGGUAUUGGCAUUUUUCUUUUUCUCUUCUUAAUAUAUCUAUUGGCAUUGUGCUCUAUUUGUUUUAUUGGGGGUGAAUGCUAUUUUACUUAAGUUCUUUCUGGAUUCAGGUGAUAGUAUUCAACUUUUUUUCUCUCUUAAGAAAUGUUAGAUAUUUCCAUAAUUUGUGAAUGAAAUGCUGCUCUGAUUAAAAUUUUUUAACUUGUGGGAACACUGUCAAUUAUUUGCUUUGGAAGAUAUAAUCAAUCUCAUUAUCUGGCAUAGCCGUUUUCAGAUGGACUCGUAGAAUUAUCAGUUUUGAUUUAUUGCAUUUUUGUGCGAUAUGCUUUUUUCAAGGGUAAGUCUUAGUUUCCCUUGUGAUACAGUUGAAAGUUGAAUCAUUUAGUUUAUGUGGCUUUACUUGUAAAACCUUCAUUUCUGGAAGUCUUUAUGGUAGGUUAUUGAAUUGAUGUCCUGUAUCAUUAAGACUAGCUUACUCAUCUGACCCCUUAUUUUUCUCCAUUUUUAAGAUCUCUUUUUUAGUUCUGUUUAUCGUAAUUUUGUUGGUAUGACUCGAAGUAAAUAAAUGGAAAACAGAGCAUGGUAUCAAAAUAAAUAUUGAUUUGUCCAUGAACCUGGUCUCAAGAGAAAUCAGCAUUCCCUUUAGUGUACCUAGAAGGUAGUAAGCAAAUAAUAUCUCUAUUCUGAAGUUGUAGGCUAUUAUUAGAUGGUAUCUGAUGGCAAAAAGUCAAAGAUAUUGUUCAUCUCUAGCCUGAAUGGUUGGUCAUUUAGCUAUUCUUCAUGUCAUUGGGCGUUUUGGUUGAUUUAGUUGGAAGGGCUGGCAACAGAGUUUGUUAGAAAAUAUAGCAAUUGAUUUAAGCAAUGUUGAGAAAGUUUUCAAGGGUCUUGGAAUAGAUGAUGAAGCAUCGAGCUGUGGUUGUAACUGGCUUAAUGCUAAACAAGAGUGCUUCGUCUACCAAGAAAAGGGUUUUAUUGCUGACUCUAUUAGAUUGGAUCACUACUGUAGUUUACCUAUAACACUGAAAUAAAGUUUGCAUUAGCUUGUUAAGUAUCCUAUCUUGUUCAUCAUCAGAGAGACACUGCAAAACAUCAGUGACAAAGGGUUGAUAGUGAUUAUGAAGUAAGCAGAACCAUGAUCAUCAUGUAUAUUACUGUACACUCUAUGAUGUAUCCUUGAAACUUUGACUUCAUGCUUACAUGUUUCAAUAAUGAGUGUAGUACAUUUUAAUUUACACUUGCUUGCACAGUUAUUUAAAAGAAAUUUAAUUGUACCAUGAAUGUAUUUGUAUAGUUUGAGAUUUACUAUUAAGAUUAGUUUGUGAUCUCAGUGGUAUGCAGUACAAAAUCCAUAUUCCAAAUUUUUGAAGAGUAAGUUUGAGUUUUUUGCCCCUGGUGUCCUUCACUUAUGAGUUUCUUUGUUCCUCUUAUGCCAUUCACUUAGGAACAAACAUCUGCAGCAUAACAUGUAGCAUGUAGAUAAGAAUAGUUGAAUGUAUUUGUCAAAUUCGUUCUUGAGUACCCGUAAUUAUGACAUAUGGUGAAAGUUGUAAAUUCGAAAUGAUUAACUUUCAUUUUUUAAUAGGAGUUGGAAAGGACUUGUUUUUAUAUUUAUUUUGGAUGGCAAUACCAUUGAACCACCUUUAAACAUGGUUUAUAGCUUUGGUUGAUCAUUUGUGGUAAUUUAUUGAUAACUAACAGAUGUGUAAGCUUCAGUAUGUGCACUUGUCAAUUCCAUACUAAUAAUUUUGUGACUUUGUUGUUCAACAAUGAUAGCAUACUGGCUGUGACUGUCUGUUAAUUCCCUUGAAAAAUUGUGCAAUGUACAGGGAAGGCCAUUACACAAUCAUAAAUGCGUGUGAUAUCUGUUUCAACUUCCAAAUAAGAAAUAAAUUUUGCAAAGUCUGCCAAUGUCACUCAUUUUCAUUUUUGCCCUCCAAAAUCACUUUGUCACAGCUGAUUCAAUCAUCUCUGAUGGUUAUCUAUUGAGCACGUUUUCAUACUGUCGAAAAGGUUUUAUUUCAAAUUCAUAGUCUGUCCGCAGAGAGAAAAAUGGAUGAGAAGGCAAAUUGAGUUCAUGAAUCAUGAUAUAUUUGCUGACACAGAUUAGGCAGUGGUUCUAGUGAUUGGAAUGGACAAGAAUGGUAGCUUCUGCAGAAUGAAUGCCAUGCUACAAGCUCAUAGAAUAUAUCUAAUAAUCUCUGUAGUUUCCCCUUUUAAUGUGCUUUGGACCCAUGAUUCUCAAAGCCUUAUAAUGCGUCACUUUAAUUUAUUUUCUGCUUGCUGGAUUGCUUACUGAUAUUUCCUUCGUUUCCUUUAAAGAUAAAAAAUUUUGGAGAGUUCUCUGGAUCGAACUUAUAUUCUCUACCCAAAACCCCCACUCCUUACCACUUGAGCUAUCCCCAUUUUUGUUGCCACUCAUUCAGCACUUGAAUUUGUGUAAAGAUGUGUUCCACGUAUACUGAAUGAAAGAGAUCUUUUUUUUUAUCAAAUUCAGAAACUAGGUAAUACCAACUUUCUCUCUUCUAUAGUAGAAACACAGAAAAUACCAUCCUUUUUAGUAAAUAAUGGAAGCAGUUCUUUAAUCCUGUUUCAUAGGAAAUGAAGACUGGUUAGCACAUGCAAACUUUAGCCAUUUUUCUGAACUGUCUUCCUUAAUAGUGCUAAUAGAAUGCAAUGUGUUAGUGCCUUCUCAACCUGCUGCCUUAUGCAUGAACAUAUUUGUGUAUUCUCUUAUUUGAAAUUAUUAUCAUUCCUGUUUAUUCUGUGCAGGUCGUAGAGUGGGGAAGGAUGAGUAUGUGUGAUGCUGAGAGGAGACUCCUAGCAAAUGCACUGCUUGAUAUUUCCAAUGAAUGGUUCAUCCUAGUGUCUGAGGCAUGCAUUCCUCUCCACAAUUUUAGCAUUAUCUAUCGCUACAUAUCAAGAUCACGGUACAGUUUUAUGGGAUCAUUUGAUGAAGAUGGUCCAUAUGGUAGAGGCCGAUAUAAUUGGAACAUGCAGCCUGAGGUUACACUUGCACAGUGGCGUAAAGGGUCUCAAUGGUUUGAAGUGAAUCGAAGACUUGCAGUUAAUAUAAUUGAGGACACCACAUACUACCCUAAGUUCAGAGACUUUUGCCAGCCAGCAUGUUAUGUGGAUGAGCACUACUUCCCUACGAUGUUGAGCAUCCAAGCUCCACCUCUCUUGGCGAAUAGGACGCUUACCUGGACAGAUUGGUCUAGGGGAGGUGCACACCCAGCAACAUUUGGAAAGGCUGACAUUACAGAGCAGUUCUUCAAGAAGAUGUUUGAAGGGCAGUCAUGCACCUAUAAUAAUCAACCAACAACUGUGUGCUAUCUCUUUGCAAGGAAGUUCGCCCCAAGCGCUUUAGAUCCUCUAUUAAGUUUAGCGUCUAAAGUUUUUGGAUUUUGAUAUAGGCAUGGUUGGUUGUACACAUAGUUUGAGAAAGUUUUACCUAGGUAUGCGAGUUUAGUUGCCAAGCUAGCCCGCACUCUAUCUUAGAUAUGGGUGUUCUAUUUCAAAUGAGUUUAUAUUACAUUUUAAUCAUUGAUAUCAAACCAUUUCAGAUGUAUAGUUAUUCUGAUCCUAAAUUACAGUUUUUAAACAUCUUUGUUUAAUAAUAUCAUAUUUCUCACCU
Molecule: unclassified non-coding RNA, 4595 nt
Filed under: Hevea brasiliensis (rubber tree)
Lineage: Eukaryota; Viridiplantae; Streptophyta; Magnoliopsida; Malpighiales; Euphorbiaceae
Source: RNAcentral